Molecule: long non-coding RNA, 317 nt
Organism: Olea europaea var. sylvestris
Lineage: Eukaryota; Viridiplantae; Streptophyta; Magnoliopsida; Lamiales; Oleaceae
Exons: 3
Source: RefSeq, a predicted model, not a curated record
AAUUUGGCUCGUUCGAUGAUGUUCAGACUUUAGAUCUGCCGACUUUAGGCACAUUCUGGGAAGCUCACUUCCUCCCAUUCAAUCCAACAGACAAAAAGUAUAUCUCUAACAUACAUAGAUCCUUCUGGUGCUCCAUUGACAGUUGCUAAGGAAACAGGAAUAUGACUCGGGAUGGGCACAAAUAUGCACCCUUCUUCAUCUUUGCUCAAUAACCAUACGGAUGAUCUUUACCCUUCAUUUUACUUAGCACUAAACUAAAUAAUUUAUUAAUGUUUUGGACAUAGUAAGGUUGCUUUAAAUAUUUUGAUAUCUUUUUU